This 290-nucleotide long non-coding RNA is filed under the name Panax ginseng (ginseng). RNAcentral describes it as "long non-coding RNA (PGIN_LNC019000)". Lineage: Eukaryota; Viridiplantae; Streptophyta; Magnoliopsida; Apiales; Araliaceae. The record is from RNAcentral.
UUAGAGUGAACAAAUUCAUACACACACAUAGUUACUUCAUAAAAGCUAUUUUAGGGUUUUCUUUAAGUAGUUUGUGUUUCUUUCUUGUUUUUUUGUUCUUUCAAUUUUUCAUCCAUGGUAUUACAACAUAUAUCUUCAAUAUGAUCUCAAAUAUACAUAAAACGUAAUUAUUUUCAUCAAAUAAAAAAAAUUAAGCUUUAAAAAAGUUAAGGUUUAUACCUAGUUGUGUGUGAUUACUUCUCCUUGCUUGGAUCUUCUUGCUUCUCCUUGUUAGUUGAUGAUUUUUCUCA